Molecule: non-coding RNA, 272 nt
Organism: Erpetoichthys calabaricus (reedfish)
Lineage: Eukaryota; Metazoa; Chordata; Cladistia; Polypteriformes; Polypteridae
Source: Ensembl
GGCCUGUGUCAUUUGCCCCAGGUUGCAAUCAUGCCUGGGGUGUGUCAGGGCAGGCGCAUAGAGAUGAGAGGAAGCUAAGGCAAGGCUGCAUUAGUCAUUGCAGGCCAUGUGCGAUGUUCCUCUAACAGCAUCUCUCCUGUUUCCACGGCGAUGGCAGAUUGCUCACUGUUCUGUCAUCUAUCAGCAAACAGGUAGAGCAAAAUCCAGUGCAGCUAAGAUAUUCUUUGGAGGUCUGAAGUUCAUUUCUCCAAACACUUAAAGCUGCUACACAU